This 73-nucleotide transfer RNA is filed under the name Stegodyphus mimosarum. It matches the Rfam family "tRNA". From Rfam's summary of the family: Transfer RNA (tRNA) molecules are approximately 80 nucleotides in length. Their secondary structure includes four short double-helical elements and three loops (D, anti-codon, and T loops). The record is from Rfam by way of RNAcentral. Lineage: Eukaryota; Metazoa; Arthropoda; Arachnida; Araneae; Eresidae.
GCCUUUUUGGUGUAGUAGUCAGCACGCUCGACGCGUAUUCGAGAGGUCCGUGGUUCGAGUCCCGGCGAGGGCA